This 73-nucleotide transfer RNA is filed under the name Camelus bactrianus (Bactrian camel). It matches the Rfam family "tRNA". From Rfam's summary of the family: Transfer RNA (tRNA) molecules are approximately 80 nucleotides in length. RNAcentral also lists the same sequence under 1 other name. The record is from Rfam by way of RNAcentral. Lineage: Eukaryota; Metazoa; Chordata; Mammalia; Artiodactyla; Camelidae.
GAGGGUAGAGCUCAGUGGCAGAGCACAUACUUGGCAUGCACAAGGUCCUGGGUUCAAGCCCCCAGUACCUUCA